CGCACCUUGCACUCCUUGGUAUUCCGAGGAGUAUGCCUGUUUGAGUGUCAUGAAACUAUCAACUUCAUAGUUUUAUUACUGUGAAGCUUGGACUUGGAAGCUGCUGGCUUUGCUCAGCCCUUCUUAAAUGUAUUAGCUGCUUGUCCGUGGGUUGGCUCAGAGUGUGAUAAUUAUCUUCACUUGGUGGCUGCCUGCAAGGAUGCGGCUUCUAAUCGUCUUCGGACAAUCUCUUAAGAUCUGACCUCAAAUCAGGUAGGACUACCCGCUGAACUUAA
This 275-nucleotide unclassified non-coding RNA is filed under the name Phlebiella borealis. Its description in RNAcentral is "partial contains 5.8S ribosomal RNA, internal transcribed spacer 2, and large subunit ribosomal RNA". The record is from RNAcentral. Lineage: Eukaryota; Fungi; Basidiomycota; Agaricomycetes; Xenasmatellaceae.